Cyprinus carpio carpio is the source of this 1058-nucleotide long non-coding RNA. The record is from Ensembl. NCBI's taxonomy places the organism in Eukaryota, Metazoa, Chordata, Actinopteri, Cypriniformes, Cyprinidae.
AAAAGCUAUUUAUCUGUCAGUCCUUCAUUAUAAAAACCCUUUUAGAAGCAGAUAAUGGAAAUCCCAAAAAUACAGCUGGGAAGCACCAAUCACACCAAAUCUGGCACUCAGCAACAGGCUGGAAGGAGAGUGAAUCUGUCCAUCACUAUUAAGGAUACAGAUGAUCAAGGACAAUAAGGUGACAGCAGGUUCAGGCCUCGGUGGAACAGAGUGUUUGUGUUGUGCGUCUGUUGUUUGUGUGUUCAGCCUCACAGAAGGCCGAUCUCUGUUGUGAUGAUGAGCUCAGGACACACCGCGGUGAUGCAUGGAAAAGAAAAGCAAAGGAAUGCCAAAUCCACAUCUUCACGGGUGGUGUGCAGUGUGUGAGAAAAACAAGAAGUGAAUUUAAAGCAAUGAGGUAUAAAUAAGACUAAAUAAGCUAAGAUGAAAAUUUGCAGAAAAUGUACACACCCUCAGGCCAUCUAAAAUGUAGAUGAGUUUGUUUUUUCAUGGGGAACAGAUUUGGAGAAAUUAAGCAUUACGUCACUUCCUCACCAAUGAAUCCAAACAGCUGAUAAAUUACCAUUAUAAUGUUUUUAGCUUAAAACCAUUGCUUUCAACCUAAAAUACUAGUCCUGGUUCUCUCGUCUGAAUCAGGGGAUAAAUAUGAGCAGAUUAAGCAGUGUUUACAAGCAAAAACAGUCCAAAACAAGUUCUAAACAAAUAUGUGGGUGGAUCUGAAUGUGAGAGGACAACAGUCGAUGGAGUUUUUCACUACAGGAAGUGUUAUUAUGCCUUAUUGAAUCCAUAUUUUGAUCAGAAGUAGUUAGAAAGCUUCAAUGAUGGAUUUGUUUCUUAUGUAUGUUAUGUGUAUGAAAGAUGAGGAUAUUUUGAUUUGACUCAUACCAACUAGAAGUAAAAUCUUGUUAGCUGUAACACUUUAAAUCCAAAUGUAAUGGAUAUAUUGCAAGCCUUUUUAAACAAUUGUUUUGAAUCAACAAGACGGAAUAUGAAAGCGCAGAUUAUUUAUAGCAAACUUGCCUGAACUGUCAUGAAUAAUAAAGCUGCUGUAUUCACGC